AGUAACCAUGCCGAAGACAGUAGGUGUCGGAAACGACGUAAGCAUAGCGCCUACCGAGGAGAAUGAGAUUCAUAAUAUUAUGAUUUUAUCCCCUUCUGUCUACGGCAGGAGGGUUUUUAUUUCU
This 124-nucleotide small RNA is filed under the name human gut metagenome. RNAcentral describes it as "Ribosomal protein L10 leader". It matches the Rfam family "Ribosomal protein L10 leader", at positions 11 to 134 of the family's 138-position model. Rfam says of the family: This family is a putative r-protein leader autoregulatory structure found in B. subtilis and other low-GC Gram-positive bacteria. It is located in the 5' untranslated regions of mRNAs encoding ribosomal proteins L10 and L12 (rplJ-rplL). The record is from RNAcentral.